CCAUGUCGUAGUAGAGACGGUACCUAUGAGUAUGCAUAGGAAUCUACCUAGUAGUAUAGGAUAGCCACUAGAAGUGGUGGGUAAUACUGUAUAAUCCCUGCGGGGGAAAGAUUUAUCGCUACAUGAUGAGCCUAUGUUAGAUUAGCUAGUUGGUGGGGUAAUGGCCUACCAAGGCAGUGAUCUAUAGCUGGUCUGAGAGGAUGAUCAGCCACACUGGAACUGAGACACGGUCCAGACUCCUACGGGAGGCAGCAGUGGGGAAUAUUGGACAAUGGGCGCAAGCCUGAUCCAGCUAUGCCGCGUGAGUGAGGAAGGCCUUAGGGUUGUAAAACUCUUUCAGUAGGGAAGAUAAUGAGG
Molecule: ribosomal RNA, 357 nt
Filed under: Anaplasma phagocytophilum
Lineage: Bacteria; Pseudomonadati; Pseudomonadota; Alphaproteobacteria; Rickettsiales; Anaplasmataceae
Description: bacterial SSU rRNA
Rfam family: Bacterial small subunit ribosomal RNA
Source: RNAcentral